This 1090-nucleotide unclassified non-coding RNA is filed under the name Hevea brasiliensis (rubber tree). Lineage: Eukaryota; Viridiplantae; Streptophyta; Magnoliopsida; Malpighiales; Euphorbiaceae. The record is from RNAcentral.
GGAAUAAUUUCCUAAUUAUAGCCAGCAUUUAAGGCUUUAAUCAAGAGAUUACAAUUAGAAUAAUAUCUUAAUAAUUAUAGGCAGCAUAUCAAAAUAUUACAAUUAAAAUAAUAUCUUAAUUUGAUAAUGUCCAUAAAAUCUUGAUAUGAUUAUCUGUUGCUGUCAUUUUGGAUGUCAUUGCCUUCUUCAUCCUGCUGCUCACAUCUUGCAUAAACCUUGCCAAUGAAUGUCUCUAACAAAAUAGGAAUUGAAUCGAGUACUGAAAAUUAAGGGACAUAAGAUACUGAACUUCAAUUUCUCUGUAGAAUUAGCAUUUUGGGGACUCUGUAGAAUUAGCAUUCAUCGGGGCACUGCAUGUUUCUGUAUGGUGUGUCAUAAUUUUAGUUCUGCAUUUUCUUCUUUUUUCUAAGCUAAUGUGGAUAGUAUGCCUACACAUAUUAUAGGCAAUAGCAUAGAACAAAAUUGAUGUUUGGUCUAUGACAACAUGAAAUAAUUAUUUCAAUUGAAUAGUUAAUUACUUAUUUUAUUCAAUUAAUAUUACUUCAUAAACUGAAAUACUGAAUUUAUAUUUAAAAGUUGCCUUACUACCAUGUAAAACAUCUGUUGUCAUCUGGUCCGGUUAGGAUGUCUGGGGUUCACCCAGUUUUCCAGGGUUCAAAUUCUGGCAACGAAAAUUUUUCUGAUUUUUGAACAUGUCAAUUUUGCCUUUUGUGGUCAGGUCGUUGAAUCUUAUAAUACGGUGGCUUAUGUCAAUAAAAUUUCAAUUUGGGUUCAUCUUCACUAUUAUUCUUUCGUUAUCUAUUCUUCUACUAAAUUUCAGGGCAAAUUCUAUCUUGUUUUGGUCCUGGCUUAUUUUAUUUUUAUGCAACUGCAAAUCCUUUUACCAUGGUUUUUCUUUGCUUUUGUUCUCCUAAUGGUCAUAGUUUGUCCCAAGCAGAGGUGGGCCAUCAUUCGUAAGAGGAGGCUUGGCAACUGGAAUCUGGGAGGUAACACAAGUGGUGUGCAACUAACUGAGGCACAGCGAGCAGCACUUCAUGCAAUGAAUUUAGCCCUUGAUCUGCCAGUUAAGAAUACAUUUACAAAUAACUCU